CAUUAAGUGGCUGAAAAUUCAAAGCAUUGGUCUCUUAAACCAAAAUAUAGUAAUUAGUAACUACUCUUAAUGG
Molecule: transfer RNA, 73 nt
Filed under: Poecilocoris druraei
Lineage: Eukaryota; Metazoa; Arthropoda; Insecta; Hemiptera; Scutelleridae
Description: tRNA-Lys
Rfam family: tRNA
About the family: Transfer RNA (tRNA) molecules are approximately 80 nucleotides in length.
Source: RNAcentral